GCCAGGUGUGGUGGCGCGCACCUGUAAUCCCAGCUACUCAGGAGGCUGAGGCAGGAGAAUUGCUUGAACCUGAGAGGUGGAGGUUACAGUGAGCGGAGAUCGUGCCACUGCACUCCAACCUGGGUGACAAAGCGAGACUCUGUCUCCA
Molecule: non-coding RNA, 148 nt
Filed under: Pan paniscus (pygmy chimpanzee)
Lineage: Eukaryota; Metazoa; Chordata; Mammalia; Primates; Hominidae
Also listed under: 1 other name
Source: Rfam by way of RNAcentral